Molecule: ribosomal RNA, 226 nt
Filed under: uncultured Peptoniphilus sp.
Lineage: Bacteria; Bacillati; Bacillota; Tissierellia; Tissierellales; Peptoniphilaceae
Description: partial 16S ribosomal RNA
Rfam family: Bacterial small subunit ribosomal RNA
Source: RNAcentral
GCCGUACCGGGGAAAACCCGGGGGAAGUUAAAUUAACCAAAAUAGAAAUACACAUAUGCACAUGCAUAAAUGAUCAAAGCUCCGGCGGUCUAAGAUGGACUCGCGUCCCAUUAGCUAGUUGGUGAGGUAACGGCCCACCAAGGCGACGAUGGGUAGCCGGCCUGAGAGGGUGAACGGCCACAUUGGAACUGAGAAACGGUCCAAACUCCUACGGGAGGCAGCAGCU